RNAcentral lists this ribosomal RNA (458 nucleotides) under uncultured bacterium. Its description in RNAcentral is "bacterial SSU rRNA". It matches the Rfam family "Bacterial small subunit ribosomal RNA", at positions 37 to 491 of the family's 1533-position model. The record is from RNAcentral.
GGAAUUAGAUUCAGGCCUAUCUCAUGCAAGUCGAACGGUAUCGCGGGGCAACGUGUUGAUGAGUGGCGAGCGGGUGAGUAAUGCAUCGGAACGUGCCCAGUAGUGGGUGAUAGCCGGGUGAAAGCGGGAUUAAUGCGGCAUACGACCUAUGGGUGAAAGAGGGGUAUCCCUAGACGUCUCGCUAUUGGAGCGGCUGAUGUCAGAUUAGGUAGUUGGUAGGGUAAAGGCCUGCCAAGCUUAUGAUCUGUAGCUGGUCUGAGAGGGCGUCCAGCCACACUGGUAUUGAGACACGGCCCAGAAUCCUACGGGAGGCAGCAGUGGGGAAUUUUGGACAAUGGGUUCAAGCCUGAUCCACCCAUGCCGCGUGCGGGAAGAAGACCUUCGGGUUUAAACCAAAGGGUCAGGGAAGAAACGCUCUGGACUAAUACUCUGGGGUAAUGACGGUACCGAAGAAUAGC